This 252-nucleotide ribosomal RNA is filed under the name uncultured bacterium. RNAcentral describes it as "partial 16S ribosomal RNA". It matches the Rfam family "Bacterial small subunit ribosomal RNA", at positions 524 to 776 of the family's 1533-position model. The record is from RNAcentral.
UACGUAGGGUGCGAGCGUUAAUCGGAAUUACUGGGCGUAAAGCGUGCGCAGGCGGUUUUGUAAGCCAGAUGUGAAAUCCCCGGCUUAACCUGGGAACUGCGUCUGAUACUGGAAGGCUUGAGUAUGGGAGAGGGAUGUAGAAUUCCAGGUGUAGCGGUGAAAUGCGUAGAUAUCUGGAGGAAUACCGGUGGCGAAGGCGGCAUCCUGGACCAUUACUGACGCUGAGGCGCGAAAGCUAGGGGAGCAAACGGG